UUAAGCGACUAAGCGUACACGGUGGAUGCCCUGGCAGUCAGAGGCGAUGAAGGACGUGCUAAUCUGCGAAAAGCGUCGGUAAGGUGAUAUGAACCGUUAUAACCGGCGAUGUCCGAAUGGGGAAACCCAGUGCAAUUCGUUGCACUAUCGUUAACUGAAUACAUAGGUUAACGAGGCGAACCGGGGGAACUGAAACAUCUAAGUACCCCGAGGAAAAGAAAUCAACCGAGAUUCCCCCAGUAGCGGCGAGCGAACGGGGAGCAGCCCAGAGUCUGAAUCAGCUUGUGUGUUAGUGGAACGGUCUGGAAAGUCCGACGGUACAGGGUGAUAGUCCCGUACACCAAAAUGCACAGGCUGUGAACUCGAAGAGUAGGGCGGGACACGUGGUAUCCUGUCUGAAUAUGGGGGGACCAUCCUCCAAGGCUAAAUACUCCUGACUGACCGAUAGUGAACCAGUACCGUGAGGGAAAGGCGAAAAGAACCCCGGCGAGGGGAGUGAAAAAGAACCUGAAACCGUGUACGUACAAGCAGUGGGAGCACCUUCGGGUGUGACUGCGUACCUUUUGUAUAAUGGGUCAGCGACUUAUAUUCUGUAGCAAGGUUAACCGUAUAGGGGAGCCGCAGGGAAACCGAGUCUUAACUGGGCGUUAAGUUGCAGGGUAUAGACCCGAAACCCGGUGAUCUAGCCAUGGGCAGGUUGAAGGUUGGGUAACACUAACUGGAGGACCGAACCGACUAAUGUUGAAAAAUUAGCGGAUGACUUGUGGCUGGGGGUGAAAGGCCAAUCAAACCGGGAGAUAGCUGGUUCUCCCCGAAAGCUAUUUAGGUAGCGCCUCGUGAACUCAUCUUCGGGGGUAGAGCACUGUUUCGGCUAGGGGGUCAUCCCGACUUACCAACCCGAUGCAAACUACGAAUACCGAAGAAUGUUAUCACGGGAGACACACGGCGGGUGCUAACGUCCGUCGUGAAGAGGGAAACAACCCAGACCGCCAGCUAAGGUCCCAAAGUCAUGGUUAAGUGGGAAACGAUGUGGGAAGGCACAGACAGCCAGGAUGUUGGCUUAGAAGCAGCCAUCAUUUAAAGAAAGCGUAAUAGCUCACUGGUCGAGUCGGCCUGCGCGGAAGAUGUAACGGGGCUAAACCAUGCACCGAAGCUGCGGCAGCGACACUAUGUGUUGUUGGGUAGGGGAGCGUUCUGUAAGCCUGCGAAGGUGUGCUGUGAGGCAUGCUGGAGGUAUCAGAAGUGCGAAUGCUGACAUAAGUAACGAUAAAGCGGGUGAAAAGCCCGCUCGCCGGAAGACCAAGGGUUCCUGUCCAACGUUAAUCGGGGCAGGGUGAGUCGACCCCUAAGGCGAGGCCGAAAGGCGUAGUCGAUGGGAAACAGGUUAAUAUUCCUGUACUUGGUGUUACUGCGAAGGGGGGACGGAGAAGGCUAUGUUAGCCGGGCGACGGUUGUCCCGGUUUAAGCAUGUAGGCUGGUUAUCCAGGCAAAUCCGGAUAAUCAAGGCUGAGGUGUGAUGACGAGGCACUACGGUGCUGAAGUAACAAAUGCCCUGCUUCCAGGAAAAGCCUCUAAGCAUCAGGUAACAUCAAAUCGUACCCCAAACCGACACAGGUGGUCAGGUAGAGAAUACCAAGGCGCUUGAGAGAACUCGGGUGAAGGAACUAGGCAAAAUGGUGCCGUAACUUCGGGAGAAGGCACGCUGGUGUGUAGGUGAAGUCCCUGCGGAUGGAGCUGAGACCAGUCGAAGAUACCAGCUGGCUGCAACUGUUUAUUAAAAACACAGCACUGUGCAAACACGAAAGUGGACGUAUACGGUGUGACGCCUGCCCGGUGCCGGAAGGUUAAUUGAUGGGGUUAUCCGUAAGGAGAAGCUCUUGAUCGAAGCCCCGGUAAACGGCGGCCGUAACUAUAACGGUCCUAAGGUAGCGAAAUUCCUUGUCGGGUAAGUUCCGACCUGCACGAAUGGCGUAAUGAUGGCCAAGCUGUCUCCACCCGAGACUCAGUGAAAUUGAACUCGCUGUGAAGAUGCAGUGUACCCGCGGCAAGACGGAAAGACCCCGUGAACCUUUACUAUAGCUUGACACUGAACAUUGAGCCUUGAUGUGUAGGAUAGGUGGGAGGCUUUGAAGCGUGGACGCCAGUCUGCGUGGAGCCAACCUUGAAAUACCACCCUUUAAUGUUUGAUGUUCUAACGUUGGCCCCUGACCGGGGUUGCGGACAGUGUCUGGUGGGUAGUUUGACUGGGGCGGUCUCCUCCCAAAGCGUAACGGAGGAGCACGAAGGUUAGCUAAUCCUGGUCGGACAUCAGGAGGUUAGUGCAAUGGCAUAAGCUAGCUUGACUGCGAGCGUGACGGCGCGAGCAGGUGCGAAAGCAGGUCAUAGUGAUCCGGUGGUUCUGAAUGGAAGGGCCAUCGCUCAACGGAUAAAAGGUACUCCGGGGAUAACAGGCUGAUACCGCCCAAGAGUUCAUAUCGACGGCGGUGUUUGGCACCUCGAUGUCGGCUCAUCACAUCCUGGGGCUGAAGUAGGUCCCAAGGGUAUGGCUGUUCGCCAUUUAAAGUGGUACGCGAGCUGGGUUUAGAACGUCGUGAGACAGUUCGGUCCCUAUCUGCCGUGGGCGCUGGAGAAUUGAGGGGGGCUGCUCCUAGUACGAGAGGACCGGAGUGGACGCAUCACUGGUGUUCGGGUUGUCAUGCCAAUGGCACUGCCCGGUAGCUAAAUGCGGAAGAGAUAAGUGCUGAAAGCAUCUAAGCACGAAACUUGCCCCGAGAUGAGUUCUCCCUGAGACUUUAAGUCUCCUGAAGGAACGUUAAAGACGAUGACGUUGAUAGGCCGGGUGUGUAAGCGCAGCGAUGCGUUGAGCUAACCGGUACUAAUGAACCGUGAGGCUUAACCUU
RNAcentral lists this ribosomal RNA (2900 nucleotides) under Klebsiella pneumoniae. RNAcentral describes it as "bacterial LSU rRNA". It matches the Rfam family "Bacterial large subunit ribosomal RNA". Lineage: Bacteria; Pseudomonadati; Pseudomonadota; Gammaproteobacteria; Enterobacterales; Enterobacteriaceae. The record is from RNAcentral.